RNAcentral lists this ribosomal RNA (497 nucleotides) under uncultured bacterium. RNAcentral describes it as "partial 16S ribosomal RNA". It matches the Rfam family "Bacterial small subunit ribosomal RNA", at positions 28 to 507 of the family's 1533-position model. The record is from RNAcentral.
GAUGAACGCUGGCGGCGUGCCUAAUACAUGCAAGUCGAGCGAACAGACGAGGAGCUUGCUCCUCUGACGUUAGCGGCGGACGGGUGAGUAACACGUGGAUAACCUACCUAUAAGACUGGGAUAACUUCGGGAAACCGGAGCUAAUACCGGAUAAUAUAUUGAACCGCAUGGUUCAAUAGUGAAAGACGGUUUUGCUGUCACUUAUAGAUGGAUCCGCGCCGCAUUAGCUAGUUGGUAAGGUAACGGCUUACCAAGGCAACGAUGCGUAGCCGACCUGAGAGGGUGAUCGGCCACACUGGAACUGAGACACGGUCCAGACUCCUACGGGAAGCAGCAGUAGGGAAUCUUCCGCAAUGGACGAAAGCCUGACGGAGCAACGCCGCGUGAGUGAUGAAGGUCUUCGGAUCGUAAAACUCUGUUAUUAGGGAAGAACAAAUGUGUAAGUAACUAUGCACGUCUUGACGGUACCUAAUCAGAAAGCCACGGCUAACUACGUG